AGAGUUUGAUCAUGGCUCAGGAUGAACGCUGGCGGCGUGCCUAAUACAUGCAAGUCGAACGAGAUGCUUUUGUAGCAAUACGAGAGUAUCCUAGUGGCGAACGGGUGAGUAACGCGUUGGUGACCUACCCCAAAGUGUGGGAUAACAGUCCGAAAGGAUUGCUAAUACCGCAUGUGGUCAUUGGAUUUAGAAACCGAUGUCUAAAGGAGCAAUUCGCUUUGGGAGGGACCUGCGUCCCAUCAGCUAGUUGGUGAGGUAACGGCUCACCAAGGCGACGACGGGUAGGGGACCUGAGAGGGUGACCCCCCACAAUGGAACUGAAACACGGUCCAUACACCUACGGGUGGCAGCAGUAGGGAAUAUUGCUCAAUGGGCGAAAGCCUGAAGCAGCAACGCCGCGUGUGUGAUGAAGGCCUUCGGGUCGUAAAGCACUUUUCUGGGAGAUGAGAAAGGACAGUAUCCCAGGAAUAAGUCUCGGCUAACUACGUGCCAGCAGCCGCGGUAAUUC
RNAcentral lists this ribosomal RNA (508 nucleotides) under uncultured bacterium. Its description in RNAcentral is "bacterial SSU rRNA". It matches the Rfam family "Bacterial small subunit ribosomal RNA", at positions 8 to 526 of the family's 1533-position model. The record is from RNAcentral.